GGGGCUUUAGCUCAGUUGGUAGAGCGCUGCCUUUGCAAGGCAGAUGUCAGGAGUUCGAAUCUCCUAAGCUCCA
This is a non-coding RNA of Streptomyces sp. NRRL S-444, 73 nucleotides long. NCBI's taxonomy places the organism in Bacteria, Bacillati, Actinomycetota, Actinomycetes, Kitasatosporales, Streptomycetaceae. The record is from Rfam.